CCCUUACACAGAAAUCCGGUUCAGAAAUCCACGGUGCGAAGCAGAGAAAAGCAGAGCCAUUCUGGACGAGGUGUGUCCCUCCCGCUCGCACCCCAUCCCGUGGAGACACCUGAGGCAUCUUCGAGCAACUCUUAGGGCCCUAAGGAAGACGGGUUGGCAACCUCUCCGCAAUUCGAUCGCACUCGCUUAUAGAACACCUACCAUACAUGAAACGCACCUUAGAAGACUGAGGAAAAUAAGAGCUGGACCUCGCCCUCAGGGGACCUAUGAUCGGGCACCUGGCUCUUCUACUGAGAGAAGUGAAGGUGACUCCAUGCACAGACACC
Molecule: long non-coding RNA, 326 nt
Organism: Lemur catta (Ring-tailed lemur)
Lineage: Eukaryota; Metazoa; Chordata; Mammalia; Primates; Lemuridae
Exons: 3
Source: RefSeq, a predicted model, not a curated record